This 153-nucleotide microRNA precursor is filed under the name Glycine max (soybean). RNAcentral describes it as "miR10434 stem-loop (gma-MIR10434)". Lineage: Eukaryota; Viridiplantae; Streptophyta; Magnoliopsida; Fabales; Fabaceae. The record is from miRBase by way of RNAcentral.
CGGCGUCGUCCAGGUAUUAGAUGCAUACUCAGUGGAUUUAAUUACUUAGUUUGUUUUUCUGUUAUCACAUUAUUACUAUAAGUGUGAAUUCAGCAUUUAAUUAAUUGAUUAAUUAAGUCUACUGAUUAUAUAUCUGAUACCAGGAGUUUGAAG